RNAcentral lists this long non-coding RNA (570 nucleotides) under Vulpes vulpes (red fox). RNAcentral describes it as "lncRNA (ENSVVUG00000005702.1)". Lineage: Eukaryota; Metazoa; Chordata; Mammalia; Carnivora; Canidae. The record is from RNAcentral.
GGUAUCACCACAGAAAUGGUAAAUACAGAAUGUCAAAAUUAAGCUCUUGCUUUCAUCCUUUUUCUUCUUAGGACAAGCCAGGAGAUCAGGGCGCCUCUGUAUUCCUUGAAGGACAGACAGGCAGCCUCAGGUCCCUACCAGCUCACCAUUCCUGGGGAGGAGUGCCAGGUCCAACACUGCCAGUUACCAGGGCAUUGUUUUGUGGAUGGUGGGUCUCCACGGAGUCCUUUUCUGUCUGAGGGAAAGAGAAACAGUACAGAGAAGGUAUCCUUGUUGUCUUAAGACGCUGGCCAGGAGAUACAUAUCACUUCUGCCAACUACAUCAGGUGACCACACCUACCUGCAAGGGAGAAGCAUCUAUCCUAAUAGAGAUGGACAGAAAUAAUACCAUGCCUGUGUGGUGAUAGAAGGGAAGCACCAGAAAAAGAAGCCUUCAUAAUGCAAGAGAGAUAAGAAACCAGCCAGACCAAUAUUCUCAAGCAGGCAAGAUCUGAUGAUAUUCAAUGCAAAAUAGAGGAGUUAAGCUUGGAUAGGGACAUGGGCAGUUAGCUCAUAGUGAUGAGAGAGAAA